RNAcentral lists this ribosomal RNA (488 nucleotides) under uncultured Microbacterium sp. RNAcentral describes it as "bacterial SSU rRNA". It matches the Rfam family "Bacterial small subunit ribosomal RNA", at positions 9 to 507 of the family's 1533-position model. The record is from RNAcentral. Lineage: Bacteria; Bacillati; Actinomycetota; Actinomycetes; Micrococcales; Microbacteriaceae.
GAGUUUGAUCCUGGCUCAGGAUGAACGCUGGCGGCGUGCUUAACACAUGCAAGUCGAACGGUGAACACGGAGCUUGCUCUGUGGGAUCAGUGGCGAACGGGUGAGUAACACGUGAGCAACCUGCCCCUGACUCUGGGAUAAGCGCUGGAAACGGCGUCUAAUACUGGAUAUGUGACGUGACCGCAUGGUCUGCGUCUGGAAAGAAUUUCGGUUGGGGAUGGGCUCGCGGCCUAUCAGCUUGUUGGUGAGGUAAUGGCUCACCAAGGCGUCGACGGGUAGCCGGCCUGAGAGGGUGACCGGCCACACUGGGACUGAGACACGGCCCAGACUCCUACGGGAGGCAGCAGUGGGGAAUAUUGCACAAUGGGCGCAAGCCUGAUGCAGCAACGCCGCGUGAGGGACGACGGCCUUCGGGUUGUAAACCUCUUUUUAGCAGGGAAGAAGCGAAAGUGACGGUACCUGCAGAAAAAGCGCCGGCUAACUACGUG